This 73-nucleotide transfer RNA is filed under the name Buchnera aphidicola (Mindarus abietinus). Its description in RNAcentral is "transfer RNA Valine". It matches the Rfam family "tRNA". Rfam says of the family: Transfer RNA (tRNA) molecules are approximately 80 nucleotides in length. Their secondary structure includes four short double-helical elements and three loops (D, anti-codon, and T loops). The record is from RNAcentral. Lineage: Bacteria; Pseudomonadati; Pseudomonadota; Gammaproteobacteria; Enterobacterales; Erwiniaceae.
GGGUGAUUAGCUCAGUUGGUAGAGCGCCUCCUUUACACGGAGGAAGUCGGCAGUUCGAAUCUGUCAUCACCUA